Molecule: ribosomal RNA, 253 nt
Filed under: uncultured bacterium
Lineage: Bacteria
Description: partial 16S ribosomal RNA
Rfam family: Bacterial small subunit ribosomal RNA
Source: RNAcentral
UACGUAGGGGGCAAGCGUUGUCCGGAAUCAUUGGGCGUAAAGCGCGUGUAGGCGGCUCGGUAAGUCCGCUCUGAAAGUCCAGGGCUCAACCCUGGGAUGCGGGUGGAUACUGCCGGGCUCGAGUCCGGAAGAGGCGAGUGGAAUUCCUGGUGUAGCGGUGAAAUGCGCAGAUAUCAGGAAGAACACCCGUGGCUAAGGCGGCUCUCUAGUACGGUACUGACGCUGAGACGCGAAAGCGUGGGGAGCGAACAGG